Molecule: long non-coding RNA, 761 nt
Organism: Asparagus officinalis (garden asparagus)
Lineage: Eukaryota; Viridiplantae; Streptophyta; Magnoliopsida; Asparagales; Asparagaceae
Exons: 2
Source: RefSeq, a predicted model, not a curated record
AUUUGGUUGUCAUAAAUGUAUUGAUUUCUUUUGGUGAUACUCUUUUUUAUGCAUUCCGGAACAUGAUUUACCAGUACAAAACUUAAUAUUGAAAGUGCUAAUGUUUAUAAGUAAUUUACCUGAACAUUGUUACUUUAGUUAAUUAUGAAGAAAAUAUCCAACCAUAUAUUGGUUCUUUGUUAUAUUGGAGCUUUGUCCUAUGAUAUUUAUAUAGGACAUUGAAGCAUUUGGAGCAGGUUAAGGACUUCACUCCAUGUGAGAGCAGCAUCUACGCGUUGAUAGGGAAGAUUCACAAGAGGCUUAAUAUGCAUGCUAAGGACAUGUUCUACUUUGGUAUUGCAUUGGACCUGAAGCCUCCAGCAGCUGAUGUUGCUGCUAUCAAGUCUGCGAUGGAGAAAUUGCAUCUCCCAGAUGAAUUGGAGGACAACUUAUAGAUUCAUUUCCUCAAAACUCAGAAGGUGCAGCAAGGGCUCAAUUGGCUUGGCCGCAUGCUUGGGCUUUCGGACUAUCUUCUGGAAAGCAGACUUUCGAGAUACUAUUGAAGACAGCCCAUUCUUGAAGAAAGCGGCGGCUAACCUCUAACAUUGUAUUACUCGUCUCAAAUGUAACAUUAAUCAUUCAGUUUAGUAGCUUUAGUGAGUCAUCGAGUGAAACAUUUGUACUGAGAGCAUGACUGAUAAUGCAUGUAUAAUGUUUGGACGCUUACAUCACAGUGAAAGGAACUGCAUAAAUACAGAGGAAAACAGUGCAUUGUUGGUAGA